RNAcentral lists this ribosomal RNA (516 nucleotides) under uncultured bacterium. RNAcentral's name for it is "bacterial SSU rRNA". It matches the Rfam family "Bacterial small subunit ribosomal RNA", at positions 336 to 870 of the family's 1533-position model. The record is from RNAcentral.
CUCCUACGGGAGGCAGCAGUGGGGAAUCUUGCACAAUGGGGGAAACCCUGAUGCAGCGACGCCGCGUGAGCGAUGAAGCCCUUCGGGGUGUAAAGCUCUUUCGACGGGAACGAUAAUGACGGUACCCGGAGAAGAAGCUGCGGCUAACUACGUGCCAGCAGCCGCGGUAAUACGUAGGCAGCAAGCGUUGUUCGGAGUUACUGGGCGUAAAGAGUGCGUAGGCGGUGCCCUAAGUCUGUUGUGAAAUCUCCCGGCUUAACUGGGAGGGUGCGGUGGAAACUGGGGUGCUUGAGUGUGGGAGAGGUAAGCGGAAUUCCUGGUGUAGCGGUGAAAUGCGUAGAUAUCAGGAGGAACACCGGUGGUGUAGACGGCUUACUGGACCACGACUGACGCUGAGGCACGAAAGCGUGGGUAGCAAACAGGAUUAGAUACCCUGGUAGUCCACGCCCUAAACGAUGCAUACUUGGUGUGAGCCAUUCAUUUGGUUCGUGCCGGAGCUAACGCGUUAAGUAUGCC